GAUAAACGUUGGCGGCGUGCCUAACGCAUGCAAGUCGCACGGGGGCUUCGGCCCUAGUGGCGGACGGGUGAGUAACACGUAGGGACCUGCCCGGAAGUGGGGGACAACUUCCCGAAAGGGAAGCUAAUACCGCAUACGGUCUACGGACCAAAGCUUCGGCGCUUCUGGAGGGACCUGCGGUGGAUUAGCUAGUUGGUGGGGUAACGGCCUACCAAGGCGACGAUCCAUAGCUGGUCUGAGAGGAUGANCAGCCACACUGGGACUGAGACACGGCCCAGACUCCUACGGGAGGCAGCAGUGGGGAAUUUUGGACAAUGGGGGCAACCCUGAUCCAGCCAUGCCGCGUGAGUG
Molecule: ribosomal RNA, 351 nt
Filed under: uncultured bacterium
Lineage: Bacteria
Description: bacterial SSU rRNA
Rfam family: Bacterial small subunit ribosomal RNA
Source: RNAcentral